GGCCUUGGGCAUCCGCGGUAGUUGGCC
RNAcentral lists this small RNA (27 nucleotides) under Bombyx mori (domestic silkworm). Its description in RNAcentral is "ovarian small RNA-17436". The record is from RNAcentral. Lineage: Eukaryota; Metazoa; Arthropoda; Insecta; Lepidoptera; Bombycidae.